AGUGGAUAUAGUUGCAAAACCCUCAUUUCUUCUUCUUCAACAUAAACCCUCUUCCUCCCUCUACCUGCAACUCAUUUCAACAAUGAAAUCAAUUCUUAACCCAAAGUUUUCAUCUUUAUCUUCCAAUUUCCCCAAACUCUCUUCUUUCUCUCUCUUUUCACACCCUCGUCAAUUCACCAUUCUUUUCCGCAACAACCCAUCUUCAUUCUCCAACCCUCUUCGCCUCAACCCAACAUCAACAACAACACCCUUUAUUACUAACUUCAUUUCCAAAUCUCAAAAUCGAACCUUUCAAGCUUCAACUUCUACUUCUGGUGAUAUUCAUGUCAUUGUCGGCCCCAUGUUCGCCGGAAAAACCUCCUCACUUAUCCGCCGGAUUCAGUCGGAGUCUAAUAGUGGCAGGUCAAGUCUUGCAGAAAAUACUCAGAAUUUGGAUAAGGUUUUGCAAGGUUUGUGUGUAUCUGGAAGGUUAGCAGAGGCAAUUAGGCUCUUGUACCGCACGGGGUUGCCGGUGCAUCAGAGAACCUAUUCUUUAAUGCUGCAGGAAUGCAUAUUCUGGAAAAAUUAUAAAAGGGGAAGAAGAAUUCAUGCACAGAUGAUUGUUGUUGGAUAUGUUCCCAAUGAAUAUUUGAAGACCAAAUUGUUGAUAUUAUAUGCAAAAUCAGGAUGUCUAGAUACUGCAUUGUUUCUGUUUAAUAAUUUAGUGGAGAAGGACUUGUUUGCAUGGAAUGCAAUCAUAGCUGGUUAUGUUCAAAAGGGCCUUGAAAAAGAUGGUUUGGAAACUUUUUAUGCGAUGAGACAGGCUGGUUUGAGACCUGAUCAGUAUACAUUUGCAUCAGUUUUUAGAGCCUGUGCAACUUUGGCGUUGUUAGAACCUGGGAGGCAAGCCCACGGUGUAAUGUUGAAGUGUCAAAUUGGGGACAAUGUUGUAGUCAACAGUGCAUUAAUAGACAUGUAUUUUAAAUGCAGUUGUAUUUGCGACGGACACCUGUUGUUCGAUACGUGUUUGAGUAGAAAUACCAUAACUUGGACUACUUUGAUAUCUGGGUAUGGUAAGCACGGACGAGUUGUGGAGGUUUUAGAUUCUUUUCAUAGAAUGAUAUCUGAAUCUUUUAGACCAAAUUAUGUUACUUUUCUCGCAGUUUUGGUUGCUUGUAGCCAUGGGGGUUUGAUUGAUGAAGGGCAUAAAUAUUUUCAAUCAAUGAUAAGAGAGUAUGGAAUGGUGCCUCAAGCUAAACAUUAUGCAGUUAUGGUUGACCUUUUAGGGCGUUCCGGGAAGUUAAAAGAGGCUUAUGAAUUUGUUCUUAAGUCACCUUAUAAAGAGCACUCAGCGAUAUGGGGUGCUUUGCUUGGGGCUUGUAAGAUUCACGGUGACUUAGACUUGUUAAAAAUUGCAUCAAAGAAAUAUUUUGAAUUUGAACGUGUAAAUGCUGGAAAGUAUGUUGUCUUGGCAAAUGCUUAUGCCUCGUCUGGUUUGUGGGAUAAUGUUGAGGAGGUUAGAGCUUCAUUGAGGGAAUCAGGGAUGACAAAGGAGCCUGGUUAUAGCAGGAUUGAGGUGCAAAAUGAGGUCUGUUUCUUCUUUAAAGGCGAUAAAUCUCACCGACAAGCUGAUGAGAUUUAUCAGGUAAUUAAAGAGAUUACCUCUAUAUUAAAGGAUGCCGGCUAUAUUCCCGAUUCAAGUAGAAACUAAUAAAUGCUUACCUUAUGCAGCAGAAAACAAGGGGAUAUAAAUUUCUGCUGCUUAAAAUUUGGUUGAGACAAUUUGCAAAUGUCCUUGUUGAGUUAUAUAGAUGAUUCUUUAGGGAUUCAAACAUGUUCUGGUUUGUGGAAAGCUGGUGAAUUGUAGGUUGUAGAUUUGAAACCGAACACUGAAACACAUAGGACAUUGUGCUGUACUAGUAUGGACAUUCUUCAGUUCUCUGGGAAUACAUUUUUUUUUGUUUUUGUGUUAGCCAUACGCUUUGCACGUCUCUGAAUUUGGCAAGCUAUAUUCGGUGAUAGCCAACCAGUAUUUUCUUUUCCUUCAGGGAACCUUUGAAGAGAGUUUACAAAAAGAUCUAGAAAAUGUGGCAAUAAUUAAAUCAAGCAAGGAUACAAGAUAUGGAUUAGAUUCAAUUGUUACACAUGAUGGUGCAAAAUUACCAUGUUGGCCUCUAAAAAACUUGUCAUCAUUCAAGCAGAAGUUUGGAAUUGAUGCUUAUGAGAAGAUUAUGACAGCUGGAUGUGAUUGGCAUUGACGAAGCUCAAUUCUUUGACGACCUUUAUGAUUUCUGCCGCGAAGCUGCUGAUCAUGAUGGAAAAACAGUAAUAGUUGCAGGACUCGACGGUAACUAUUUGAGG
Trifolium pratense (red clover) is the source of this 2340-nucleotide RNA transcript. It is a transcript of the gene named pentatricopeptide repeat-containing protein At4g16470, with no coding region annotated. Lineage: Eukaryota; Viridiplantae; Streptophyta; Magnoliopsida; Fabales; Fabaceae. The record is from RefSeq and is a predicted model, not a curated record. The transcript has 4 exons.